UGCAAUGUUUCAAAACAGAUUUUCAAAUAAAUUCCUUCAACUAGGUGGCUUGCUGUCAAAGGCUAACCUAUGGAGGAAUGCACACCACAGCAGGAAUGUGCAUCUUGGCCCAAUUCCUGCCAGAAACUGCUGGAAUCUUGGCACGCUAGAGGUUGGGGACACAGAGAUGAACAAGAUAUCCUUCACGGAUUUUAAGAUCUGACAGACAAGACCAGGAGCUCCUCAACCUGGCCUGCUAUGACCUGCUGCACUGGAGCAUCAAAACUGUUUGUGACACCAAGAGGACCAAGUGAUGCAGGGGUGCUGAUGUACAUGGACUCAGGCCAUGGCACU
Equus quagga is the source of this 333-nucleotide long non-coding RNA. RefSeq lists it as uncharacterized. The record is from RefSeq and is a predicted model, not a curated record. The transcript has 3 exons. Lineage: Eukaryota; Metazoa; Chordata; Mammalia; Perissodactyla; Equidae.